UUAAGCAUAUCAAUAAGCGGAGGAAAAGAAACCAACAGGGAUUGCCCUAGUAACGGCGAGUGAAGCGGCAACAGCUCAAAUUUGAAAUCUGGCUCUCGGGCCCGAGUUGUAAUUUGUAGAGGAUACUUUUGAUGCGGUGCCUUCCGAGUUCCCUGGAACGGGACGCCAUAGAGGGUGAGAGCCCCGUCUGGUUGGAUGCCAAAUCUCUGUAAAGUUCCUUCAACGAGUCGAGUAGUUUGGGAAUGCUGCUCUAAAUGGGAGGUAUAUGUCUUCUAAAGCUAAAUACCGGCCAGAGACCGAUAGCGCACAAGUAGAGUGAUCGAAAGAUGAAAAGCACUUUGAAAAGAGAGUUAAAAAGUACGUGAAAUUGUUGAAAGGGAAGCGUUUAUGACCAGACUUGGGCUUGGUUAAUCAUCUGGGGUUCUCCCCAGUGCACUUUUCCAGUCCAGGCCAGCAUCAGUUUUCCCCGGGGGAUAAAGGCGGCGGGAAUGUGGCUCUCUUCGGGGAGUGUUAUAGCCCACCGUGUAAUACCCUGGGGGGGACUGAGGUUCGCGCAUCUGCAAGGAUGCUGGCGUAAUGGUCAUCAACGACCCGUCUUGAAACACGGACCAAGGAGUCGUCUUCGUAUGCGAGUGUUCGGGUGUCAAACCCCUACGCGUAAUGAAAGUGAACGCAGGUGAGAGCUUCGGCGCAUCAUCGACCGAUCCUGAUGUUCUCGGAUGGAUUUGAGUAAGAGCAUACGGGGCCGGACCCGAAAGAAGGUGAACUAUGCCUGUAUAGGGUGAAGCCAGAGGAAACUCUGGUGGAGGCUCGCAGCGGUUCUGACGUGCAAAUCGAUCGUCAAAUAUGGGCAUGGGGGCGAAAGACUAAUCGAACCUUCUAGUAGCUGGUUUCCGCCGAA
RNAcentral lists this ribosomal RNA (901 nucleotides) under Fusarium oxysporum f. sp. aechmeae. RNAcentral describes it as "LSU rRNA". It matches the Rfam family "Eukaryotic large subunit ribosomal RNA", at positions 34 to 965 of the family's 3401-position model. Lineage: Eukaryota; Fungi; Ascomycota; Sordariomycetes; Hypocreales; Nectriaceae. The record is from RNAcentral.